AGGAGGUGGCCGGUGCGGCGCCGUCAGGCCGGGCCGGGUCGGGGGGCCGGGAGCCAUCAAGUCUGCACGUCCGCAGCCUGGCCGCUCGGCUUCAGCAGGAAGCACCGAAUGGGCCUCGGAGCCAGAAUGUUGGCUACCAGGGUAUUUAGCCUAGUUGGCAAGCGAGCAAUUUCCACCUCUGUGUGUGUACGAGCUCAUGAAAGUGUUGUGAAGAGCGAAGACUUUUCGCUCCCAGCUUAUAUGGAUCGGCGUGACCACCCCUUGCCGGAGGUGGCCCAUGUCAAGCACCUGUCUGCCAGCCAGAAGGCCUUGAAGGAGAAGGAGAAGGCCUCCUGGAGCAGCCUCUCCAUGGAUGAGAAAGUCGAGUGUGGGUAUUGAAGGGACCCACAGGCGCGCCCAGCAGCUCUCAGAAGUGUGUGUGUGACAGAGCCUCUGCUCACUUCUGGGCCUACUGUCUAGAGAGCAGUCUUGCACAGGAGGGUUGCUCUGCUGGGUUUCGGGGUCACUGUCCCAGGGCCCUAGUUUAUGUGCUCACCAGUCACUUAGCUCUGCCAGCUGACAGGAUCUUUUGCU
RNAcentral lists this small RNA (573 nucleotides) under Pan troglodytes (chimpanzee). RNAcentral's name for it is "retained intron". Lineage: Eukaryota; Metazoa; Chordata; Mammalia; Primates; Hominidae. The record is from RNAcentral.